ACGCUCGACACCUACGGAGGCAGCAGUCGGGAAUAUUGCGCAAUGGAGGAAACUCUGACGCAGUGACGCCGCGUGCAGGAAGAAGGUUUUCGGAUUGUAAACUGCUUUAGACAGGGAAGAAAGAAAUGACAGUACCUGUAGAAUAAGCUCCGGCUAACUACGUGCAAGCAGCCGCGGUAAUCUGAGCGGGCUGGCAAGGC
RNAcentral lists this ribosomal RNA (200 nucleotides) under uncultured bacterium. RNAcentral's name for it is "partial 16S ribosomal RNA". It matches the Rfam family "Bacterial small subunit ribosomal RNA", at positions 328 to 539 of the family's 1533-position model. The record is from RNAcentral.